Long non-coding RNA from Hyaena hyaena (striped hyena), 96 nucleotides. RefSeq lists it as uncharacterized. NCBI's taxonomy places the organism in Eukaryota, Metazoa, Chordata, Mammalia, Carnivora, Hyaenidae. The record is from RefSeq and is a predicted model, not a curated record. The transcript is spliced from 3 exons.
UCUAUACUGAGGCAGGGCAACAAAAUCAAAAAUAUGCAAGUGGGACUACAGCAAACUAAAAAUGCUUCUGCAUAGCAAAAGAAACUAUCAACAAAG